GACGAACGCUGGCGGCGUGCUUAACACAUGCAAGUCGAACGGUAAGGCUCUGCUUUGCUCGGGUGCUCGAGUGGCGAACGGGUGAGUAACACGUGAGCAACCUGCCCCUGACUCUGGGAUAACUUCAGGAAACUGCUGCUAAUACCGGAUAUGCACCAUUGCCGCAUGGUGUGGGGUGGGAAGUUUUGGGCGGUUGGGGAUGGCCUCGCGGUCUAUCAGCUUGUUGUUGGGGUAUUGGCUCACCAAGGCGUCGACGGGUAGCCGGCCUGAGAGGGUGACCGGCCACACUGGGACUGAGACACGGCCCAGACUCCUACGGGAGGCAGCAGUGGGGAAUAUUGCACAAUGGGCGGAAGCCUGAUGCAGCAACGCCGCGUGCGGGAUGACGGCCUUCGGGUUGUAAACCGCUUUUGGCUGGGAAGAAGCGAGAGUGACGGUAAUGGGAGAAGAAGCACCGGCUAACUACGUG
Molecule: ribosomal RNA, 469 nt
Filed under: uncultured bacterium
Lineage: Bacteria
Description: partial 16S ribosomal RNA
Rfam family: Bacterial small subunit ribosomal RNA
Source: RNAcentral